Molecule: long non-coding RNA, 4146 nt
Organism: Lytechinus pictus (painted urchin)
Lineage: Eukaryota; Metazoa; Echinodermata; Echinoidea; Temnopleuroida; Toxopneustidae
Exons: 2
Source: RefSeq, a predicted model, not a curated record
ACUGUACUUGCCUCACCUCAUCUUGCAUUGUCUUCCAUAUGUAUUUAUAUUAUUUCCUCCUCUGUAAAACUUCAUUGUACACUUUAAUUUUCUGCACUAUACUACUCAUUCUCUGUAAAAUAAACUCCUACGUUGUGUUAUACACACACACACCAUUUGAAAACUUUCUUUGUUUUUUACACUCGGUAUUGUACACACACACGUGCACACGACCACAAUCUAAUGAAUAUUCAUCGGCGAACCGUCCCAUUGAGAGUGACUAUUUGAAUUAGUUGAUAUUUUUGAUAGCAGAUAUUGUUUUAACCAAAAGUAAGGUUUUGUGAGAGAAAAGGAUUUCCAAAAUAAGGAAAAACAAUUAUUUCAGAAAAAGGAUAAAUUAUGCACCUACAAUGUAGCAUUAGAAUGUUUUGUUUUUAUAUGUGGAAACUGCACAGAUAGUGUGUGUGUGUGUGUAUUUGAGUUUUUGUCAGACGUGUAUCAAUCAGAUAUGAUUAUUUACGUCUGGGACCGACCUUUAACGUCACCAUCCGAAAGACGUGACCAGGAUUCGAACCUCGAACUUCUGCAUCAAAUUGUAACUUCCCCACGUAUCUUGGAUUACAGGCGCACGCCACAACGCCCAGUUGAAAUGCAAACAUUAGUCUUCUUUCAGACGUUUAGAUUUGUCUUUGGCAGAGUUAAAUGCAACAAAUAUGCAUCAUUUUUUAACUGCUGCAGACACCUGUUCAGACAUAGAAGAUUAUUUUUACCAACAAUAUUCAAUUUAUUUGUCAAGUCCAUUUAAUUCAGACUGUAGAGUCAAAUAUGCAUUACAUGUAGGUUCAUGAUGAUAUAGAAAGUUAUGUAAACUACAAUUUCAGUGAUAUAUUUAUGGUCAUGAAACUGAGGAUGUUUUUUCCCUCUUUUUCUUUUAACCUCCUAGAUUGAAUAAACACAGUUACAUUGGUUCUUCGGAGGCCAGCUCAGUUGAUUGUUGUACUUAUACAAUCCCAAGAGGAAUUUGCCAUCCGUAAUAGUUCCUUUUCGUCAACAAGCCACCUGACUUAACAAAGCUUUAAUGAAACUUCCAUUUAAAAGUUGUAAACAACGGGUCUCCUGGAGGAUACAAGCACUUGGGCUGGUACCAACCUACACCAUGGAUGAGAAGAGGUUUCAUAUUCAACAAGAUGGAUUUUCCAUUUCUUUCAUUAAAAGAAAGAGUACCAAAUUCCAAUGACUUGGGCAGUCCUUUGAUCGAUGAGGUAAUACAGCUUCAUAGAUACAAUAAAUAAUUUUUUAUGCAGUUCAUGCAGGUAUAUCAAAGUUCAACUCUUAUUUUUGGUACAUGUAUUUCCAAAUUCUUUAAAAGAAAGAAAGAACAAUCGAAUUGAAUGAAAAAUUAACUUUUUUUUAUAUAUAUAUUGUAUCGUAUCCGAACAUCUACCCCCUGGACAUCCACACCCCGGACAUCCACCACCCGGACAUCCACCCCCCGGACAUCCACCCCCUUAGGACAUCUACCCCCUAGGACAUCUACCCCCGGACAUUUACCCCCCGGACAUCUACCCCCCGGACAAUUACCCCCCGGACAUUUACCCCCCCGGACAUCUACCCCCGGACAUUUACCCCCCGGACAUUUACCCCCCGGACAUCUACCCCCCGGACAUCUACCCCCUGGACAAUUACCCCCUGGACAUUUACCCCCCCCCCCCCCCAGACAUCUACCCCCGAGCAUCUACUCACGGAUAUUUUGGAUACGGGGGGUUCCAAAAUUACGCAUCAUUUCAUAAGUGCAUGCAGACCCAAAAUUGCACAAAAACGUAAAUUUGUGUACAAAUCCAAUGCAAAUAGAGUUUUUAGCCAAAAUUCAUAAAUGUAUAAUUUUUCCAUUUACUGAUUGAAAUCAAUUAAUUCCAUCUUAUUUAUGGUCCAAAUAAAGUCCCCGACAAUUUCCAUUGAAAAAACAAUAAAAAACAUAAAGUCCAAAAACAAAGAAAUACAUAAGAAAUUUUGAAAACAGUUAAAUACAUGAAAAAAUUAAUGUGAUUUUGAAAUUUUUUGUUAGUACAUUUGAACAGAUUAAUAUAAAGUGUCUGUGUACCAAAAAUUAGCAUUUUAGGGGCAUUAUUUAGUUAAUUAAAGCAAAAUUCUGAUUUCAUGCAUAAAUUAGCAUAAUAAAUUAGCAAUGAGAUUUUUCACAGAGUUUGAUCCUGUAGUUUUGUAUAUUAUGCCAUUGGUAACGCAGGUGCCAAGUUUCGUCGCGAUCAACGGCCGAGAUCAUAAGGAGGGGGGCUGAAUCAGCCCCCCCCCCCACAGUCUUCUUAGGCAUCGAAAUAGCCUAGUCUAUUUAGGUUUAAUUCAUGUGUAAUAUCUGUUUUAUAAAUCUUCCAAAUGAUACCAAGUAUCGUUCAAGUGGGUUUAAAGGGGAAGUUCACGCUGACAAAAAGUUUAUUGUUAAAACAGAAGAAAAAAAUAAUAAAAAUAUUGCUUAAGUUUUGAGGAAAAUCCAUCAAAGAAUUAAAAAGUUAUUUGAAUUUCAAUUAUUUGAGUUGUAACGUCAUAUUCGGGCAGCAUUUCUACAUAAUGAAUUUUUUUUUUCUAUACCUUUUCUAUAUCAAAGGACCAAUCAUUUUACACCCAAACAUGAAAAGAAAACACAAAAUAACAAAAAUAUGUCCUCUGGAACCAUUAAAAAAUGAAAUUCAUGCAUUUUAUAUUACAUAACUUUAUUUGGCAGCUGCUCGUGUGUGUGACGCCACAAAUCCAAAGGCUAAGCUUAGAAUUCUAAUAAAUUAUUUAAUAUUUAACAGAUUUUCCUCAAACCUUCACCAAUUUUUUUGUCUCACCUGCAUAGCAGACUUGUUUUGUCCAAGUGAACUUUCAUGUUAAGAUUGAAUGAGUUGCAAUUAUCUUAACUUUAAUAUAUUUUAAAAAAUUAUUUGCUUCUAAAUUGAAGACAAAGUGAAGAUUGAAAUAGUUUCAUUUGAUUUGUUUCAGUAGCAAAAGAGGUGCAGACUGCAGAGCUUCAAAAUAUUUGAUAUCGCUAUAAUAUUGUCAGUACUCUAUAUCAUUCUUAUCUUUCCAACUAUUUUGAGGCCGCCUGAAUCGCAAACCCUGUAUGGCCAGUUUUUGUUUAUGACAAACAAUGAUGAGGGAUGGCUGAAAAUCCCUCCAGGUAAGUUGGGGUUUAUGUAAUUGACAUGGUAACCAAAUAUGAAUUUAGUAAUUUAUAACAGGAUGUAUAUUCCUGAAACAAAGUGCAAUUGUUUGAUAAAUGUUAAUUGAAUUGGCCACUAUUGUAAUUUUAAGAUUGUCCUUAUUGUUAGCUUUACAUAGACACCAAAAACAGAGGAUAUUGUUCCCAACUGGAAUUAUGAUAUUACUAUGCUAUUGUCAUAUUUAUCAUCACAAUAAUGUAUCUGGUAAUGUAAUGCUAUCUUAAAGGGAUGGUCCGGGCUGAAAGUAUGUGUAGCUUAAUAAAUAGAGUAGAAUUCACUGAGCAAAAUGCAGAAAAUUUCAUCAAAAUCGGAUAACAAAUAACAAAGUUAUUGAAUUUUGAAGUUUAGCAAUAUUUUGUGAAAACAGUCGUCAUGAAUAUUCAUUAGGUGGGCUGAUGAUGUCACAUCUCCACUUGUUCUUUUGUAUUUUAUUAUAUGAAAUUAGGUUUAUUCAAUUUUUUUUCCUCCAAGAACUAGAAAAAUUGGAUUGUCAACUGAAUAGUGCAUUAAAUAUUUAUUGCUGCAACUUAUUUCAUUAUAAGGGAGACAUUCAGACAAGUAUGAAAUAAUGAAAAAAAUAUGAUUUUAUGUAAUAACAUAAGACAACAGAACGUGGAGAUGUGACAUCAUCAGCCCACCUAAUGAAUAUUCAUGACAACUGUUUUCACAAAAUAUUGCUAAACUUUAAACUUCAAUAACUUUAUUAUUUGUUAUCCGAUUUUGAUGAAAUUUUCGGCAUUUUGCUCAGUGAAUUAUACUCUAUGUAUUAAGAUAUAAAUAUUUUCAGCCCGGACCAUCCCUUUAAGUUUUGAACCAGGAUUUGAUUUUUGUGGGAUAUAAUAUACAUGUAUUUUAUAUACACCUCAGUUCAAUAUGUUUUACAAUGUAACUGUACAUCUGAUUAAGUUUAUCUUAUUGUUACUUAAUAAAACCACUUUACUCCAAAGAA